RNAcentral lists this ribosomal RNA (253 nucleotides) under uncultured bacterium. RNAcentral describes it as "partial 16S ribosomal RNA". It matches the Rfam family "Bacterial small subunit ribosomal RNA", at positions 524 to 776 of the family's 1533-position model. The record is from RNAcentral.
UACGGAGGGAGCUAGCGUUGUCCGGAAUUAUUGGGCGUAAAGAGCUCGUAGGCGGUUUGUUGCGUCGGCUGUGAAAUCCCGAGGCUCAACCUCGGGUCUGCAGUCGAUACGAGCAAACUAGAGUGUUGCAGGGGAGACUGGAAUUCCUGGUGUAGCGGUGAAAUGCGCAGAUAUCAGGAGGAACACCGGUGGCGAAGGCGGGUCUCUGGGCCUUACCUGACGCUGAGGAGCGAAAGCGUGGGGAGCGAACAGG